AAUAAAAAGCUUCUUGAAUGUGUUCCUGAUAUAACAAGUGUUUGUUUGAAAAAACACUGAAAAUACGUUUGGACAGAAGACAGUGUUGUUUUGUGCAGCUGUUCAAAGCAUGUAAAAAUAGCUAUCAUGUAGUCCUUGCUGUGUUUCACAUUGCUUCUAUAAUGGCCUGAACAACUGGUGGAAGGAUAAUGGCUGAUGCUCAAUGAGGAUCUGGCUAAAAGCACC
This 225-nucleotide long non-coding RNA is filed under the name Meleagris gallopavo (turkey). RNAcentral describes it as "lncRNA (ENSMGAG00000019346.1)". The record is from RNAcentral. Lineage: Eukaryota; Metazoa; Chordata; Aves; Galliformes; Phasianidae.